Long non-coding RNA from Pelmatolapia mariae (spotted tilapia), 607 nucleotides. RefSeq lists it as uncharacterized. NCBI's taxonomy places the organism in Eukaryota, Metazoa, Chordata, Actinopteri, Cichliformes, Cichlidae. The transcript is spliced from 4 exons. The record is from RefSeq and is a predicted model, not a curated record.
GCGCUCGGGAACGAGCUCAUAAAAAGCACGCGCAUUUUUAGCGGUCCGGAGCUGUAGGAGAAACACAAAUUAACUCAGAGACAGACUGAUGCGACAAAAUCAACAUGCCUGAUAAGGACAUGAGGAGGAAACAGUAGGAGCUGUGUGAGGCUACUAAAGGCAGUGGAUCCCUCAGCAGCUGGAUUACAAAGAGCACAGUAUCACAUCAGCACAGCCCUGCACUCCAGCACUAUCAGCAGCAGGAGCAGCAGAAACCCCUCAACAGCAACAAUGUACCCAUCAGAAACAACGGGUAGGAUGGUUUGUCAGGUAGGAUGGAUUCCCAGAACACCCGGCCUACUCUAUCACCCGUAUCAUGGAUUCCCGGCGCCGGGGGCGUGGCUACCAGUACCUGGUGGAUUGGGAAGGCUACGGCUUGGAGGAACAGUCUUGGAUCCCUUGGGCGGAUCACAUAUUAGGCCUCUGUUUGCCUCUGUGUACAGAUCUUUCCCUGCCUGCCUGUCAUCUCGUGGACGAGUGUGUGGAUUUGUGUAACCCAGUUGUGGAGAGAGAAGAGUGAUUCUUUGGAGCGCGUCUGAUCCCCUUCCUUUCUCUCACGGACCCCGGA